GUAAACACUUGGGUGUCUUUCUGUUCCAGCUGCGCCGCAUGCAGGAGAUGAUUGCCCAGAUGCAAGCCCAGAUGAGAAUGAAACCUGGUGAUGACUAAGGUGCUUAACAUCUGGAUGAAUCAGCAGCUUACGGUUCUCUAAGUGGAUGGGUGCUCUCUUUUCUUUGCCCGAGUGGUAACGUUCCAAUGCAAAAGCUGGAUGCCACAGACCAAGACCUGCGUUAAAGCAAACACAAAGUCCGAAGAUCGUGUUGUAAAACUGCUUGUUUUAUAUACUCAAUGUUAUUCAACUCAUAGUGUAUCUUUUUUGAUUCUUUUGGUAAAACUGUCUUCAUACUUACCAAUGUGGUUUUAUUAUCCUACCUAUACCUUUUUAUUCAGACGCUGCCAAGAGUACACUGUUUGGACUAGCCAUUGUGGUGGAUUUAAGGAAUUAAUCAUUUAUCUGCUAGGUUGUUCUGAAUGGUUUUGUGGUUAAUACUAAGACUUUGUGGCCUGUUUACGGUAAACGUAUGUGUGUUUGCACAGUAUUAUAACUUUCACCUGCCAUUUUAGGUUAUGUAUCGUAUCAGUUUUUCAGAACUUUCUCUGUGCUUUUGUUGCUUUUGAAGCUUCAUCUCUGGUGAUUUGUAUUUGUGUGAUGUAUGAGAAAAUGUACAAAACGCCGAUGAUUCACCAGUGAUUGGAAAAAGCUGACUUUUCUAAAUCGCCGUGCCUUAACACACCAUAAAAACUCCACACACCAACAACUUGUGUGGAUGCCUCUGGAGGUUUGGCUUCAGGUCUCAACUAUUGAUGGCAAAAAUUUGUCACAGGCAUUUCUAUCUGUCAGCUGAGCGAUGGCAUGUACUGAUUUUUUAUAUAUACCAUAGCACUACUUUUCAUUGCAGUUUUGUAAUAAAUUGUAUGGAUGUGGAAAACACUGA
This is a non-coding RNA of Cyanistes caeruleus (blue tit), 925 nucleotides long. Lineage: Eukaryota; Metazoa; Chordata; Aves; Passeriformes; Paridae. The record is from RefSeq and is a predicted model, not a curated record.